This 253-nucleotide ribosomal RNA is filed under the name uncultured bacterium. RNAcentral's name for it is "partial 16S ribosomal RNA". It matches the Rfam family "Bacterial small subunit ribosomal RNA", at positions 524 to 776 of the family's 1533-position model. The record is from RNAcentral.
UACGUAGGUGGCGAGCGUUGUCCGGAUUUACUGGGCGUAAAGAGCGCGCAGGCGGUCGUGCAAGUCGCGUGUGAAAGCCCCCGGCUCAACUGGGGAGGGUCACGCGAUACUGCUCGACUCGAAGGCAGGAGAGGGAAGUGGAAUUCCCGGUGUAGUGGUGAAAUGCGUAGAUAUCGGGAGGAACACCAGUGGCGAAGGCGACUUCCUGGACCGGCAUUGACGCUGAGGCGCGAAAGCUAGGGGAGCAAACGGG